This 272-nucleotide ribosomal RNA is filed under the name uncultured bacterium. RNAcentral's name for it is "partial 16S ribosomal RNA". It matches the Rfam family "Bacterial small subunit ribosomal RNA", at positions 524 to 796 of the family's 1533-position model. The record is from RNAcentral.
UACGGAGGGUGCGAGCGUUAAUCGGAAUUACUGGGCGUAAAGCGUGCGUAGGCGGUUUCUUAAGCGAGAUGUGAAAUCCCGGGGCUCAACCUCGGAACUGCAUUUCGAACUGGGUGACUAGAGUACUGUAGAGGGUGGUGGAAUUUCCAGUGUAGCGGUGAAAUGCGUAGAGAUUGGAAGGAACAUCAGUGGCGAAGGCGCCACCUGGACAGAUACUGACGCUAGGCACGAAAAGCGUGGGGAGCAAACAGGAUUAGAUACCCGUGUAGUCC